RNAcentral lists this ribosomal RNA (355 nucleotides) under Escherichia coli. RNAcentral's name for it is "bacterial SSU rRNA". It matches the Rfam family "Bacterial small subunit ribosomal RNA", at positions 616 to 970 of the family's 1533-position model. The record is from RNAcentral. Lineage: Bacteria; Pseudomonadati; Pseudomonadota; Gammaproteobacteria; Enterobacterales; Enterobacteriaceae.
GGGAACUGCAUCUGAUACUGGCAAGCUUGAGUCUCGUAGAGGGGGGUAGAAUUCCAGGUGUAGCGGUGAAAUGCGUAGAGAUCUGGAGGAAUACCGGUGGCGAAGGCGGCCCCCUGGACGAAGACUGACGCUCAGGUGCGAAAGCGUGGGGAGCAAACAGGAUUAGAUACCCUGGUAGUCCACGCCGUAAACGAUGUCGACUUGGAGGUUGUGCCCUUGAGGCGUGGCUUCCGGAGCUAACGCGUUAAGUCGACCGCCUGGGGAGUACGGCCGCAAGGUUAAAACUCAAAUGAAUUGACGGGGGCCCGCACAAGCGGUGGAGCAUGUGGUUUAAUUCGAUGCAACGCGAAGAACC